UUAGUUAAAACCAAAAGAAGAGGUAUGUUAUUGUUAAUAAUAAAAUUGAAUGAAUUUCUAACUAAA
RNAcentral lists this transfer RNA (66 nucleotides) under Bemisia tabaci. RNAcentral's name for it is "tRNA-Asn". Lineage: Eukaryota; Metazoa; Arthropoda; Insecta; Hemiptera; Aleyrodidae. The record is from RNAcentral.